CCCUGGGUGAUGAAAACAGCUAACAUGUUUGGUUGCUAACCAAAAGGCUAGAGGUUCAAGUCCACCCAGAGA
Molecule: transfer RNA, 72 nt
Organism: Loxodonta africana (African savanna elephant)
Lineage: Eukaryota; Metazoa; Chordata; Mammalia; Proboscidea; Elephantidae
Rfam family: tRNA
About the family: Transfer RNA (tRNA) molecules are approximately 80 nucleotides in length. Their secondary structure includes four short double-helical elements and three loops (D, anti-codon, and T loops). Further hydrogen bonds mediate the characteristic L-shaped molecular structure. tRNAs have two regions of fundamental functional importance: the anti-codon, which is responsible for specific mRNA codon recognition, and the 3' end, to which the tRNAs corresponding amino acid is attached (by aminoacyl-tRNA synthetases). tRNAs cope with the degeneracy of the genetic code in two manners: having more than one tRNA (with a specific anti-codon) for a particular amino acid; and 'wobble' base-pairing, i.e. permitting non-standard base-pairing at the 3rd anti-codon position.
Source: Rfam